AACGAACGCUGGCGGCAUGCCUAACACAUGCAAGUCGAACGAGACCUUCGGGUCUAGUGGCGCACGGGUGCGUAACGCGUGGGAACCUGCCCUUAGGUUCGGAAUAACUCCCCGAAAGGGGUGCUAAUACCGGAUAAUGUCUUCGGACCAAAGAUUUAUCGCCUUUGGAUGGGCCCGCGUUGGAUUAGCUAGUUGGUAGGGUAAAAGCCUACCAAGGCGACGAUCCAUAGCUGGUCUGAGAGGAUGAUCAGCCACACUGGGACUGAGACACGGCCCAGACUCCUACGGGAGGCAGCAGUGAGGAAUAUUGGACAGUGGGCGAAAGCCUGAUCCAGCAAUGCCGCGUGAGUGAUGAAGGCCUUAUGGUUGUAAAGCUCUUUUACCCGGGAUGAUAAUGACAGUACCGGGAGAAUAAGCACCGGCUAACUCCGUG
This 433-nucleotide ribosomal RNA is filed under the name uncultured bacterium. RNAcentral describes it as "partial 16S ribosomal RNA". It matches the Rfam family "Bacterial small subunit ribosomal RNA", at positions 29 to 507 of the family's 1533-position model. The record is from RNAcentral.